GGCUAACACCGCUAUACAGGCAGCUGCAGGGGAUGGCAAGGAGACUGGAAGACCUACUGGUUUAUUCCCAGCUGAUGACCCUGCAGCUCGCCUAGAGAAGGUGCGAAGUGCCGUAACAGGAAACAACACCUGACCCGUUAACAGAGUCAUUGCAUGUGUGUAUUUCUCAACCAAGGAUGUGUAUUUGGAGCGUGGCGGCAGCGUCGCAUAUCAUGCAGCAAAUAGUUUGUCAUUCUGAUCAAUGCAGCAAAGCGUACAGGACGCAUAUCAGCUCCGUCACAGCAUCGUAUCGAGAGCAGCACUGCUAAAGAUUCGCGGUGAGUCUAUUUUUGCUAUUCUACACUUCCAAUACACGUCAAUCCACCCAGAGAAGAUCGUUCUAGACAGGAGGUCAAGCACGAAAAACAUGCACGUCAUCUGGUAUUUCAAAAUAUUGAGUUUAAGUUUAAACACAUAGCACUUCCUUAAAUAUGUGGUUACUAUGCAGACCACAUACUUGGUGACUGGCCUGCAGAGCGGCAUCGCAUUUCCUGCAUUUCUACAUUUCCAGAAAUGCAGUUGGUCCAUCUAUAUGUUGUUCAAAAGAUGCAUGUAAUGGAUGCAAGGUAGUUAAGAAAACUUGUACAGAAGAAGAACAGAGGACUAAGGCUGCGUUCCAGUUACCUCGGAAGUCCGGGCUGGGAGUGAUGUUGAUAGCACACACAAACCUCAUCUACUAACUGGGUACACUGAGGAUUGCGUCUGUCAAAUGAGCAAAACAGCGUGCGCAAUCGAUUUAGCGUGUUUGCCUUCAUGAAUAUGCAGAAUGUAUGAAGAUCAUCAGAACGCGCAAAACUCUGGAAGGAGCAGAGAUUUCUAGUAUAUCUUCUUGCAUCUGUAAAGCACUUUGAAGACCCUACACCGGACCGGAAAUGAGUAACGUGAGUUAAGACGCGGAAGCACGAAUCGGCGGGGAGGCGGGUAGUUGAAAACGUUUUUCUGGUCAGAGUUUGAUUCGUGAUAAAUACGUGGAAUAUUACUGAGGUUAAUGUUACUGAGAAGUCUUUGAAGGCUCAAAAACAGCCAUUUGUUAAAAAAUAAGUAAAUAUGUUGAUAUAUUACUUAAAUUUAGAACAUUUUAAAACUUUUAAAAAAAUUUAAAAAUUGGCUGAUUAACCAGUAAUCAGAUUUUUUUCCUCCCUAACAAACGGUAUCGGCAUCGGCCCUAAAAUUUCCAUAUCGGUCAUGCCCUACUCUAUACUGAGCCCAGCUGACCGGGGCAGCACUACGCUGCAAAUACGCUGCAAAUACGCUGAUCCUGUGUGCGAUACCCAGGACUGCUCUACGGAGCAAAUACGAACACACUAAAUACGGAUCCUGUAUGUUUUCCGCUUUGCUCCUUCCACCCUUCUGCAAGUUAGACUACAUCAUAGUCCUUCUGACUGUCAGGUCAGUAAAUCUCCCAUGAUGCUUUGAAACCCUGAAGCAGGACUGCUGGGGUGCGUGCAGGCUCAGUUACAAUGACAAAAGGCCGAAUCUGCAGCUGUUCUCCUGAAACCAGCCAACAGCCUCGGAGUGUCUCCCUCCAACUCUCCAGUUUUGCCGCGAGCCCCUUUCAGAACACAUCACAUCCCUUUGUGUCAGAGCUGCUGGACUCGGCUCUCCAGAGUCUGUCUGUUGUGCUGCCGUCGCCCUGAAGGCUGUACACACUGUGUGUUUCCUCAGGGUGGGUCCAAGUUUAUUUAGACCCUCCCCGACACUCUGAGCCAGGAAACCUCCAGGGCUGCUGACCGACCCGUCACCGCACACACUCUCUAAACUGGACAGAGACUAGAGAGAAGACUCCGGCUCAUUUCUGUGAGCUGGAUGAUUGGACUCGGAGACGAGAGGCUGCUCUUUUGGCUCUUCUCCUCACUCAGUCCACAGGCAAAGGCCACAACAGUGAACAGGUUCUGAUUUAACCGUUCAUGCCCCAAUUAUCCUCAGAAUGAUGCUGCUGAGCUCUCAGUCAUCACAGUUCCUGCUGACGGUGUUCAGCCUGACAGACCCCCUCAGGGUUUUACUGGAGGACAGAGAGAUGACAAAAAAAGAGAGAAAAUAGGAGGACGGAGAGGUGCAAAAUGUGACAAACUAAAUAGGAAGUACGAGAGUGGAGGCGCUACGAUGUUCCUGCAUGCAUACACUUGUUUGCAAGCUUUAAGGCUUGUUUUUGCUUCACUGUCAAGGUCACAUAGUGUACUCUGUUAUAUUUUUACACCUCAGGUUUGUAAUAAAUCUGGGCUAUAAAACUAAACAUCACCAGAAACCUUCUCGACGGUUUCUAUUUCAGUCUGUAAACCUCGUCUGAACCUGGAGCUUCCUCCUCUGAGCUCUUACUAGAUUUCCUCCACUUCCUAAUGAGUCUCAGAUUCACCCUCAGAGCAGUUACAUGUUGCAGCGUAUCAUCCAUAAAUCAUCAGCUCAUUCGUUUUUACAUAUUAUUAAAGAAUGCAGAUUUGUAAGUGAUUGCUUUGAUCAGCGGUUAAUUACGAGAGUGAGGGAGUGAGCGUUGAGGGAAUUUCCUUCGUAUCCAAACGAGUAAAAGUGUCGUUUGUCUUCCCGAUGAAACACACACAAACUUCUCUGUCGACAUGAUGUAACAGAAAAUAAAUCAACUUUCUUUCUCCUUCAUUUAUAGACCAACAGCAUGAAGACGAACUCCAGAGGAACACCAGUGGGUGACGGUCCAGUUUCUCAGCAGGACUCUUCUCCUACAGAGCCACGCUGUUGUCAGAAUGUGGUUGAGGAUCAUAUGAAGAUCUUCCCUGAAGAAGUCUUUGACUGGAUGGCAGUAGAUGUUGCUCCCAAACCUGGAGAUAUUGUUUAAAACUGAGGAUGCAGCAUCUAUGAUUUCUAGU
RNAcentral lists this long non-coding RNA (2876 nucleotides) under Xyrichtys novacula (pearly razorfish). Lineage: Eukaryota; Metazoa; Chordata; Actinopteri; Labriformes; Labridae. The record is from RNAcentral.